This 1119-nucleotide ribosomal RNA is filed under the name uncultured bacterium. RNAcentral describes it as "bacterial SSU rRNA". It matches the Rfam family "Bacterial small subunit ribosomal RNA", at positions 8 to 1124 of the family's 1533-position model. The record is from RNAcentral.
AGAGUUUGAUCCUGGCUCAGGAUGAACGCUAGCGGCAGGCUUAACACAUGCAAGUCGAGGGGCAGCAUGAAAGUAGCAAUACUUUUGAUGGCGACCGGCGGACGGGUGCGUAACGCGUAUGCAACCUACCCUUUACAGGGGGAUAACACUGAGAAAUCGGUACUAAUACCCCAUAAUAUUCUGGGAGGCAUCUUUCGGAGUUGAAAGCUUUGGUGGUAAAGGAUGGGCAUGCGUUGUAUUAGCUAGUUGGUAAGGUAACGGCUUACCAAGGCGACGAUACAUAGGGGGACUGAGAGGUUAACCCCCCACAUUGGUACUGAGACACGGACCAAACUCCUACGGGAGGCAGCAGUGAGGAAUAUUGGUCAAUGGACGGAAGUCUGAACCAGCCAUGCCGCGUGCAGGAAGACGGCUCUAUGAGUUGUAAACUGCUUUUGUACGAGGGUAAACGCAGAUACGUGUAUCUGCCUGAAAGUAUCGUACGAAUAAGGAUCGGCUAACUCCGUGCCAGCAGCCGCGGUAAUACGGAGGAUCCAAGCGUUAUCCGGAUUUAUUGGGUUUAAAGGGUGCGUAGGCGGUUUAGUAAGUCAGCGGUGAAAUUUUGGUGCUUAACACCAAACGUGCCGUUGAUACUGCUGGGCUAGAGAGUAGUUGCGGUAGGCGGAAUGUAUGGUGUAGCGGUGGAAUGCUUAGAGAUCAUACAGAACACCGAUUGCGAAGGCAGCUUACCAAACUAUAUCUGACGUUGAGGCACGAAAGCGUGGGGAGCAAACAGGAUUAGAUACCCUGGUAGUCCACGCAGUAAACGAUGAUAGCUCGUUGUCGGCGAUACACAGUCGGUGACUAAGAGAAAUCGAUAAGCUAUCCACCUGGGGAGUACGUUCGCAAGAAUGAAACUCAAAGGAAUUGACGGGGGCCCGCACAAGCGGAGGAACAUGUGGUUUAAUUCGAUGAUACGCGAGGAACCUUACCCGGGCUUGAAAGUUACUGACGAUUCUGGAAACAGGAUUUCCCUUCGGGGCAGGAAACUAGGUGUUGCAUGGUUGUCGUCAGCUCGUGCCGUGAGGUGUCGGGUUAAGUCCCAUAACGAGCGCAACCCCUACUGAUAGUUGCCAUCAG